RNAcentral lists this ribosomal RNA (378 nucleotides) under uncultured organism. RNAcentral's name for it is "partial 16S ribosomal RNA". It matches the Rfam family "Bacterial small subunit ribosomal RNA", at positions 526 to 897 of the family's 1533-position model. The record is from RNAcentral.
GUAGGGGUGCGAGCGUUAAUCGGAAUUACUGGGGCGUAAAGCGUGCGCAGGCGGUUAUGUAAGACAGAUGUGAAAUCCCCCGGGGGCUCAACCUGGGAACUGCAUUUUGUGACUGCAUGGCUAGAGUACGGUAGAGGGGGAUGGAAUUCCGCGUGUAGCAGUGAAAUGCGUAGAUAUGCGGAGGAACACCGAUGGCGAAGGCAAUCCCCCUGGACCUGUACUGACGCUCAUGCACGAAAGCGUGGGGAGCAAACAGGAUUAGAUACCCUGGUAGUCCACGCCCUAAACGAUGUCAACUGGUUGUUGGGAAUUAGUUUUCUCAGUAACGAACCUAACGCGUGAAGUUGACCGCCUGGGGAGUACGGCCGCAAAGGUUGA